Molecule: unclassified non-coding RNA, 214 nt
Filed under: Hevea brasiliensis (rubber tree)
Lineage: Eukaryota; Viridiplantae; Streptophyta; Magnoliopsida; Malpighiales; Euphorbiaceae
Source: RNAcentral
CUUCAGUUAAGUCUUCUCCAACCUUUAUUAAAGAUUCAGAUGCAUUAGAUAUGACAAAUAAACAAAUCCAGAUGCCAUGAUAAAGAUGCAAAAGUUUCAGAAAAUAAAUAAACCGAUGCUUGAGAAUAUAUUUGCCUAGGUAGAGGCAUAGAGCAAUGUGUUAGGCAUCACUUACUAUUUCUAUUCUCAACAUGUUAGAGAGAGAGAGAGAGAG